This 366-nucleotide ribosomal RNA is filed under the name Siphloplecton interlineatum. RNAcentral describes it as "partial 12S ribosomal RNA". Lineage: Eukaryota; Metazoa; Arthropoda; Insecta; Ephemeroptera; Metropodidae. The record is from RNAcentral.
CCUAUUAUUCCAAUUGUUGAUUAGUUAAUACCAGAGUAGUAUUAGAUAUGUUCUUGAAACUCAAAGAAUUUGGUGGUGUUUUAGUCUUGUCAGAGGAACCUGUCCCUUAAUCGAUAAUCCCCGUUUUACUAUACUUAAUUUAGUAGUCAGCUUGUAUACCGCCGUCACAAGAGUGUUUCUGGAGACAAUACUCAAGAUUUUCUAAUAAAGAAGAUGUCAGGUCAAGGUGCAGUUUAUAAUUAAGUGGUGAUGGGUUACAAUAAUAAAAAUUAAAUGGAUGAGAGGAUGAAAAGAUCUUUGAAGGUGGAUUUGGGUGUAAUAAAUUGUAGAGUAAAUUUAUGAUAAAAGCUCUAAAACAUGCACACA